UACAUAGGGAGCAAGCGUUAUCCGGAUUUAUUGGGUGUAAAGGGUGCGUAGACGGGAAAUUAAGUUAGUUGUGAAAUCCCUCGGCUUAACUGAGGAACUGCAACUAAAACUACUUUUCUUGAGUGCAGGAGAGGUAAGUGGAAUUCCUAGUGUAGCGGUGAAAUGCGUAGAUAUUAGGAGGAACACCAGUGGCGAAGGCGGCUUACUGGACUGUAACUGACGUUGAGGCUCGAAGGCGUGGGGAGCAAACAGG
RNAcentral lists this ribosomal RNA (253 nucleotides) under uncultured Eubacteriales bacterium. Its description in RNAcentral is "uncultured Clostridiales bacterium partial 16S ribosomal RNA". It matches the Rfam family "Bacterial small subunit ribosomal RNA", at positions 524 to 776 of the family's 1533-position model. The record is from RNAcentral. Lineage: Bacteria; Bacillati; Bacillota; Clostridia; Eubacteriales.